Molecule: ribosomal RNA, 234 nt
Filed under: uncultured bacterium
Lineage: Bacteria
Description: partial 16S ribosomal RNA
Rfam family: Bacterial small subunit ribosomal RNA
Source: RNAcentral
UGGCGGACGGGUGAGUAAUGUCUGGGAAACUGCCUGAUGGAGGGGGAUAACUACUGGAAACGGUAGCUAAUACCGCAUAACGUCGCAAGACCAAAGAGGGGGACCUUAGGGCCUCUUGCCAUCGGAUGUGCCCAGAUGGGAUUAGCUAGUAGGUGGGGUAAAGGCUCACCUAGGCGACGAUCCCUAGCUGGUCUGAGAGGAUGACCAGCACACUGGAACUGAGACACGGUCCAG